ACUGCGGAGGAUCAUUAUUGAACAAUCCAAUUCACGUAGUAAUGGCGUUGUACCUGGCUCUAGUAGCAUGUGCACGCGCCGCACUACAGUUGUUCAACCUCCACCUGUGCACACUUUGUACACUGUCUCAAGACGUUAAUCACCCUUCAAGGGUGGAUUAGAGAGGGAGUUGCUUAACGCUUUCUCUUGAACAUUUCGUAGUCUACGUUUCAUACACUCGUUGAAUGUCAUGGAAUGUCAGUUGUAUUCAAACAAAUAUAACUUUCAGCAACGGAUCUCUUGGUUCUCGCAUCGAUGAAAAACGCAGCGAAAUGCGAUAAGUAAUGUGAAUUGCAGAAUUCAGUGAAUCAUCGAAUCUUUGAACGCACCUUGCGCUCCUUGGUAUUCCGAGGAGCAUGCCUGUUUGAGUGUCAUUAACUUCUCAACCCUUUCCGUUUUGUAAUGAAAUGUGAAAGCGAUUGGAUUGUGGAGGCUAUUGCGGGCUUCACCAUUGAAGUCGGCUCCUCUGAAAUACAUUAGCGGAGACUUGUAGACUAUCUUCCCUUGGUGUGAUAAUUAUCUACGCCUUGGUUGUCUACACGGAUUGCUCUGCUUUCAAACCGUCUCGCGAGAGACUACACUUGACAUCUUGACCUCAAAUCAGGUAGGACUACCCGCUGAACUUAAGCAUAUCAAUAAGCGGAGGAAAAGAAACUAACAAGGAUUCCCCUAGUAACUGCGAGUGAAGCGAGAAGAGCUCAAAUUUACAUCUGGCAGCCUUUGGCUGUCCGAGUUGUAAUUUAGAGAAGUGCUAUCCGUGCUGGACCGUGUAUAAGUUUCCUGGAAAGGAGCAUCAUAUAGGGUGACAAUCCCGUCUUUGACACGGACUACCAGUGCUUUGUGAUACGCUCUCUAAGAGUCGAGUUGUUUGGGAAUGCAGCACUAAAUGCGUGGUAAAUUCCAUCUAAGCUAAAUAUUGACGAGAGACCAAUAGCGAACAGACCCGUAAUCCCUUAUAUGGGACGAACCGGGAUGAUUGUGUCAUCAUUGCUAAAAGUCGAAUCUGUUUGGAAGUGCAAGUAUAAUGCGGGUAAUUUCCUCCUCUAGCUAAACUACGUAGAGA
Molecule: ribosomal RNA, 1102 nt
Filed under: Cystostereum murrayi
Lineage: Eukaryota; Fungi; Basidiomycota; Agaricomycetes; Agaricales; Cystostereaceae
Description: eukaryotic LSU rRNA
Rfam family: Eukaryotic large subunit ribosomal RNA (bases 630-1102)
Source: RNAcentral